AGCUCAACAGCUAGUCCACCCAACCAAAAACAAACCCCAACCAUCUAAAUACCCCCUAAUACACGCAAUACACAUCAAACAAAACAUUUUCCCCCUUUAGUAUAGGCGAUAGAAAAAG
Molecule: ribosomal RNA, 118 nt
Filed under: Chaetodon auriga (threadfin butterflyfish)
Lineage: Eukaryota; Metazoa; Chordata; Actinopteri; Chaetodontiformes; Chaetodontidae
Description: partial 16S ribosomal RNA
Source: RNAcentral